Molecule: ribosomal RNA, 877 nt
Filed under: uncultured archaeon
Lineage: Archaea
Description: bacterial SSU rRNA
Rfam family: Archaeal small subunit ribosomal RNA
Source: RNAcentral
CCGGACCUGACUGCUAUCGGAUUGGUACUAAGCCAUGCGAGUCAUUGUAGCAAUACAAGGCGGACGGCUCAGUAACACGUAGUCAACUUAACUCGUGGACGUGGAUAACCUCGGGAAACUGAGAAUAAACCACGAUAGAUCAUAGUGCCUGGAAUGGCUUAUGGUCCAAACAGUUUACUGCCAUGGGAUGGGACUGCGGCCUAUCAGCUUGUUGGUGAGGUAAUGGCCCACCAAGGCGAUUACAGGUACGGGCUCUGAGAGGAGAAGCCCGGAGAUGGGUACUGAGACACGGACCCAGGCCCUAUGGGGCGCAGCAGGCGAGAAACCUUAGCAAUGUGCGAAAGCACGACUGGGUCAGUCCGAGUGAUUCCUGAUAAAGGAGUCUUUUGCCUGUCCUAAAAACACAGGUGAAUAAGGGGUGGGCAAGUCUGGUGUCAGCCGCCGCGGUAAUACCAGCACCUCGAGUGGUCAGGACGUUUAUUGGGCCUAAAGCAUCCGUAGCCGGCUUUGCAAGUCUCCGGUUAAAUCCACCUGCUCAACAGAUGGGCCGCUGGAGAUACUACAGAGCUAGGGAGUGGGAGAGGCAGACGGUACUCAGUGGGUAGGGGUAAAAUCCUCUGAUCCAUUGAGGACCACCAGUGGCGAAGGCGGUCUGCCAGAACACGUUCGACGGUGAGGGAUGAAGCUGGGGGAGCAAACCGGAUUAGAUACCCGGGUAGUCCCAGCUGUAAACGAUGCAAACUCGGUGAUGCAUUGGCUUAUGGCCAAUGCAGUGCCGCAGGAAGCCGUUAAGUUUGCCGCCUGGGAAGUACGGACGCAAGUCUGAAACUUAAAGGAAUUGGCGGGGGAGCACCACAAGGGUGAAGCCUGCGGUUCA